This is a non-coding RNA of Pelobates cultripes (western spadefoot toad), 221 nucleotides long. Lineage: Eukaryota; Metazoa; Chordata; Amphibia; Anura; Pelobatidae. The record is from the annotation of a GenBank genome assembly.
CUUUGUGUCCCAGUCUCCCAUUUGGUCCCCUAGGGGAGUGUCCACCAGGUGGGAGACCUGCAUAAAAGCCGGGCAGUUAGCCCCAGUAAAUCAGUUCCUGCUUAACCCUCAAAGUGAAGUGUCGUCUCAUUAUUGGGGGGGAGGAUUUACUGGAUGCUGUUAGAGACUGAUUGCCAGGAGUGUAAGCCGUUUGGGGGCUUUUCCUGUUCGUCUGCUAGCAG